RNAcentral lists this ribosomal RNA (484 nucleotides) under uncultured bacterium. RNAcentral's name for it is "partial 16S ribosomal RNA". It matches the Rfam family "Bacterial small subunit ribosomal RNA", at positions 30 to 507 of the family's 1533-position model. The record is from RNAcentral.
AUUGAACGCUGGCGGCAGGCCUAACACAUGCAAGUCGAGCGGAUGAAGGGAGCUUGCUCCUGGAUUCAGCGGCGGACGGGUGAGUAAUGCCUAGGAAUCUGCCUGGUAGUGGGGGAUAACGUCCGGAAACGGGCGCUAAUACCGCAUACGUCCUGAGGGAGAAAGUGGGGGAUCUUCGGACCUCACGCAAUCAGCUGAGCCUAGGUCGGAUUAGCUAGUUGGUGGGGUAAAGGCCUACCAAGGCGACGAUCCGUAACUGGUCUGAGAGGAUGAUCAGUCACACUGGAACUGAGACACGGUCCAGACUCCUACGGGAGGCAGCGGUGGGGAAUAUUGGAAAAUGGGCGAAAGCCUGAUCCAGCCAUGCCGGGUGUUUGAAGAAGGUCUUCGGAUGUUAAAGCAUUUUGAGUUGGGAGGAAGGGCAGUAAGUUAAUACCUUGCUGUUUUGACGUUACCAACAGAAUAAGCACCGGCUAACUUCGUG